GACCCGUUAGCUCAGUUGGUAGAGCAUCUCACUUUUAAUGAGGGGGCCAAUGGUUCGAAUCCAUUACGGGUCACCA
RNAcentral lists this transfer RNA (76 nucleotides) under Arcobacter nitrofigilis DSM 7299. RNAcentral describes it as "tRNA-Lys (TTT) (tRNA-Lys-TTT-1 1 to 3)". It matches the Rfam family "tRNA". From Rfam's summary of the family: Transfer RNA (tRNA) molecules are approximately 80 nucleotides in length. Their secondary structure includes four short double-helical elements and three loops (D, anti-codon, and T loops). The record is from RNAcentral. Lineage: Bacteria; Pseudomonadati; Campylobacterota; Epsilonproteobacteria; Campylobacterales; Arcobacteraceae. RNAcentral also lists the same sequence under 4 other names.